CCUACGGGAGGCAGCAGUGAGGAAUAUUGGUCAAUGGACGCAAGUCUGAACCAGCCAUGCCGCGUGCAGGAAGACGGCUCUAUGAGUUGUAAACUGCUUUUGUACGAGGGUAAACGCAGAUACGCGUAUCUGUCUGAAAGUAUCGUACGAAUAAGGAUCGGCUAACUCCGUGCCAGCAGCCGCGGUAAUACGGAGGAUUCAAGCGUUAUCCGGAUUUAUUGGGUUUAAAGGGUGCGUAGGCGGUCUGAUAAGUUAGUGGUGAAAGCCCGAGGCUCAACUUCGGAAUUGCCUCUGAUACUGUUCGGCUAGAGAGUAGUUGCGGUAGGCGGAAUGUAUGGUGUAGCGGUGAAAUGCUUAGAGAUCAUACAGAACACCGAUUGCGAAGGCAGCUUACCAAGCUACUUCUGACGUUGAGGCACGAAAGCGUGGGGAGCAAACAGGAUUAGAUACCCCUGUAGUC
Molecule: ribosomal RNA, 460 nt
Filed under: uncultured bacterium
Lineage: Bacteria
Description: partial 16S ribosomal RNA
Rfam family: Bacterial small subunit ribosomal RNA
Source: RNAcentral